GACGAACGCUGGCGGCGUGCUUAACACAUGCAAGUCGAACGGUGAAGCGCCUUCCUUUUUGGUGGGUGUGGAUGAGUGGCGAACGGGUGAGUAACACGUGAGUAACCUGCCCCCUUCUUCUGGAUAACCGCAUGAAAGUGUGGCUAAUACGGGAUAUUCUGGGUCUGUCGCAUGAUGGGUCUGGGAAAGAUAUUGUUUCGGUGGGGGAUGGGCUCGCGGCCUAUCAGCUUGUUGGUGGGGUGAUGGCCUACCAAGGCGGUGACGGGUAGCCGGCCUGAGAGGGUGGACGGUCACACUGGGAAGGAGACACGGCCCAGACUCCUACGGGAGGCAGCCGUGAGGAAUAUUGCACAAUGGGCGCAAGCCUGAUGCAGCGACGCCGCGUGAGGGAUGGAGGCCUUCGGGGUGUGAACCUCUUUCGCCAGUGAAGCAGGCCUGCCUCGUUUGUGGGUGGGUUGACGGUAGCUGGAGAAGAAGCGCCGGCUAACUACGUG
Molecule: ribosomal RNA, 494 nt
Filed under: uncultured bacterium
Lineage: Bacteria
Description: partial 16S ribosomal RNA
Rfam family: Bacterial small subunit ribosomal RNA
Source: RNAcentral